UACAGAGGCCACAAGCGUUAGCCGGAAUCACUGGGCUUAAAGCGUGUGUAGGCGGGAUGGUAAGUACCUUGUGAAAUCCCACAGCUUAACUGUGGAAAUGCUUGGUAUACUGCCGUUCUUGAGUCACCUAGGGGCAGCUGGAACAGAUGGUGGAGCGGUGAAAUGCAUAGAUAUGUCACAGAACACCAAUUGCGAAGGCAGCUUACUAAAGUAUGAUUGACGCUGAGGCACGAAAGCGUGGGGAUCAAACAGG
Molecule: ribosomal RNA, 253 nt
Filed under: uncultured bacterium
Lineage: Bacteria
Description: partial 16S ribosomal RNA
Rfam family: Bacterial small subunit ribosomal RNA
Source: RNAcentral